AUUGAACGCUGGCGGCAGGCCUAACACAUGCAAGUCGAGCGGAUGAAGGGAGCUUGCUCCUGGAUUCAGCGGCGGACGGGUGAGUAAUGCCUAGGAAUCUGCCUGGUAGUGGGGGAUAACGUCCGGAAACGGGCGCUAAUACCGCAUACGUCCUGAGGGAGAAAGUGGGGGAUCUUCGGACCUCACGCUAUCAGAUGAGCCUAGGUCGGAUUAGCUAGUUGGUGGGGUAAAGGCCUACCAAGGCGACGAUCCGUAACUGGUCUGAGAGGAUGAUCAGUCACACUGGAGCGGAAACACGGUCCAGACUCCUACGGGAGGCAGCAGUGGGGAAUAUUGGACAAUGGGCGAAAGCCUGGUCCAGCCAUGCCGCGUGUGUGAAGAAGGUCUUCGGAUUGUAAAGCACUUUAAGUUGGGAGGAAGGGCAGUAAGUUAAUACCUUGCUGUUUUGACGUUACCAACAGAAUAAGCACCGGCUAACUUCGUG
RNAcentral lists this ribosomal RNA (484 nucleotides) under uncultured bacterium. RNAcentral describes it as "partial 16S ribosomal RNA". It matches the Rfam family "Bacterial small subunit ribosomal RNA", at positions 30 to 507 of the family's 1533-position model. The record is from RNAcentral.